UUUACCCUGGGUACCAUCCUUGAAAUGAGGGGAAGUGCCUGGUGGGUUUCCCCAGGCUCUA
This is a non-coding RNA of Picea glauca (white spruce), 61 nucleotides long. The record is from Rfam. Lineage: Eukaryota; Viridiplantae; Streptophyta; Pinopsida; Pinales; Pinaceae.